This 71-nucleotide transfer RNA is filed under the name Acinetobacter phage vB_AbaM_phiAbaA1. Its description in RNAcentral is "tRNA-Trp". RNAcentral also lists the same sequence under 2 other names. Lineage: Duplodnaviria; Heunggongvirae; Uroviricota; Caudoviricetes; Luriaviridae. The record is from RNAcentral.
GGGUUGACCGCUGGGCGGUGACGAGGCUCCAAACCUUGUCUUGCUACGUUCGAUUCGUAGUCGAUCUGCCA